UACGUAGGGUGCGAGCGUUGUCCGGAAUUAUUGGGCGUAAAGAGCUCGUAGGCGGUGUGUCGCGUCGGCCGUGAAAACCUGGGGCUCAACUCUGGGCGUGCGGUCGAUACGGGCAUCACUUGAGUUCGGCAGGGGAGACUGGGAAUUCCUGGUGUAGCGGUGAAAUGCGCAGAUAUCAGGAGGAACACCGGUGGCGAAGGCGGGUCUCUGGGCCGAUACUGACGCUGAGGAGCGAAAGCAUGGGUAGCGAACAGG
This 255-nucleotide ribosomal RNA is filed under the name uncultured bacterium. RNAcentral describes it as "partial 16S ribosomal RNA". It matches the Rfam family "Bacterial small subunit ribosomal RNA", at positions 524 to 776 of the family's 1533-position model. The record is from RNAcentral.